Molecule: ribosomal RNA, 279 nt
Filed under: uncultured bacterium
Lineage: Bacteria
Description: partial 16S ribosomal RNA
Rfam family: Bacterial small subunit ribosomal RNA
Source: RNAcentral
UGCCAGCCGCCGCGGUAAUACGGAGGAUUCGAGCGUUAUCCGGAUUCAUUGGGUUUAAAGGGUCUGUAGGCGGAUGUAUAAGUCAGUGGUGAAAUACUGGGGCUCAACCCCAGAAUUGCCAUAGAAACUGUACAUCUUGAGUAUAACAGAAGUUGGCGGAAUGUGUAGUGUAGCGGUGAAAUGCAUAGAGAUUACACAGAACCCCAAUUGCGAAAGCAGCUGACCAUGUCUAUACUGACGCUGAGAGACGAAAGCGUGGGGAGCGAACAGGAUUAGAUA